AGUGAACGCUGGCGGUAGGCCUAACACAUGCAAGUCGAACGGCCGCACAGUAAGAGCUUGCUCUUACGGGUGGCGACUGGCGGACGGGUGAGGAAUACAUCGGCAUCUACUUUUUCGGGGGGGAUUACGUAGGGCAACCUACGCUAACACCGCAUAUGUCCUACGGGUGAAAGCAGGGGAUCAUCGCACCUUGCGCGAUUGUAUGAGCCGAUGUCGGAUUAGCUAGUUGGCGGGGUAAAGGCCCACCAAGGCGACGAUCCGUUGCUGGUCUGAGAGGAUGAUCAGCCACACUGGAACUUAGACACGGUCCAGACUCCUACGGGAGGCAGCAGUGGGGAAUAUUGGACAAUGGGCGCAAGCCUGAUCCAGCCAUACCGCGUGGGUGAAGAAGGCCUUCGGGUUGUAAAGCCCUUUUGUUGGGAAAGAAAAGCAGCAGGUUAAUACCCCGCUGUUCUGACGGUACCCAAAGAAUAAGCACCGGCUAACUUCGUG
This 492-nucleotide ribosomal RNA is filed under the name uncultured bacterium. Its description in RNAcentral is "partial 16S ribosomal RNA". It matches the Rfam family "Bacterial small subunit ribosomal RNA", at positions 29 to 507 of the family's 1533-position model. The record is from RNAcentral.